UGGCAACCAUAUCACGUUGAAAUAUUGGUUCCCCUAUGCUCACCGAAGUUAAACAACGUCGAGCCUCGUCAGUACCUAGAUGGGUGACCACUUCAGAAUACCAGGCGCCGUAAG
Non-coding RNA from Acanthosepion pharaonis, 114 nucleotides. Lineage: Eukaryota; Metazoa; Mollusca; Cephalopoda; Sepiida; Sepiidae. The record is from the annotation of a GenBank genome assembly.